This is a non-coding RNA of Sesamum indicum (sesame), 760 nucleotides long. Lineage: Eukaryota; Viridiplantae; Streptophyta; Magnoliopsida; Lamiales; Pedaliaceae. The record is from RefSeq and is a predicted model, not a curated record.
AUCAACAUCCAAAAGAAAUUAAAAUUAAUUCCAAUUACUUGAUCGAAAAGGCCAAAAAAAAGGGAAAAAAGCGUGCUUAGGAUCCUCUCUCUGCGGUCGGCCACCGGCUUCUACCCUUCGAUCCGCCGCAGAGGGAGUGAAAAAAUAUUCUUCAUUUUCUGAUCAUCGCAUCAUAACUACUGUGGAAAGUAGUUAAAAAUAAAAUAAAAUGGAGAUGAUCGGCAGAGCUUUGGCGGCGAUUGUCGUAGUGGUGUUGGCCGCCGCCGUCGCUUUCCCCUCCGUCGCUGCCUCCUCCGAUGUCAAAUCAUUUGCACCCGCACCUUCCCCCCUCGCCACCAGCGAUGGAACGGCGAUAGAUCAAGGCAUAGCAUACGUUCUAAUGCUGUUGGCAUUGGUGCUCACCUACAUAAUUCACUAGAUUUUCCGAUCUAACGAAUUAUUAUCAUAAUCUCCAAGAAAGAGCGCAUCUAAAAAUUGAUCAUUGAGGAGAUAGAGAGAAAUCAGAGUAGAAGAAGUGGAAUCAGUACACAUUUUCCGGUGGUCCAUUUUUGGUUUACUCUUUUUUGGUAGAAUUCUGUUUCUCUUUUUUUUUUUCGGUAAAUAAUUCUGUUUCUCUUUGGUGUGGGUGUGGGUUUGGGUUUGGGGUGGUUUCUCUAUUCAUUUGUCAGUCUAAAGUUAGAUAUUUCUUUUGGAUUUUCAUUUUCUGAAUGUUAGAUGGUUUUGUAAUCUAUUUUUAUCAACUAGUAUUAAAUUACUUUUC